Molecule: ribosomal RNA, 274 nt
Filed under: uncultured bacterium
Lineage: Bacteria
Description: partial 16S ribosomal RNA
Rfam family: Bacterial small subunit ribosomal RNA
Source: RNAcentral
AUACGUAGGAGGCAAGCGUUGUUCGGAAUCACUGGGCUUAAAGAGCGUGUAGGCGGAGUGGUAGGUGCCUUGUGAAAUCCCUCGGCUCACCCGAGGAACUGCUCGGCAAACCAUCACUCUUGAGGCCGGCAGAGGCAAGCGGAACCAUGGGUGGAGCGGUGAAAUGCGUAGAUAUCCAUGGGAACACCAGUGGCGAAGGCGGCCACCUGGCCCGGUACUGACGCUGAGGUGCGAAAGCGUGGGGAGCAAACAGGAUUAGAAACCCUAGUAGUCC